Molecule: long non-coding RNA, 1125 nt
Filed under: Homo sapiens (human)
Lineage: Eukaryota; Metazoa; Chordata; Mammalia; Primates; Hominidae
Description: HSALNT0091235
Source: RNAcentral
GGAAAGCAUUCAGUUUUUCAGCAUUAAGUAUUGUUAUGGGCUAAAUUGUUUCCUCUCCAAAUUCACAUGUUGAAGUCCCAAACCCCAGUACUUCAGUAUGUAACUGUAUUUGAAGAUAAGGUUUUUAAAGAGGUAAUUAAGUUAAGAAGAGGUCUUUAGAAUGGGUCCUAAUCCAUUAUGAUUGGUAUCCUUACAAGAGGUGAAAAUUUUGGACACAGACACGCACAUGCACAGAAGAAAGACCACGUGAAGACAAAGGGAGAUGAUGGCCACCUAAAAGCCAAGGAGAGAGGCCUCAGAAUGAAGUCAACCCUGAAGACACCUUCAACUCAGACUCUAGCCUCCAAACUGUGAGAAAAUUAGUGUUGUUAAAGCCAUCCAGUCUGUGUUACUUUGCUAUGGCAGCCCUAGCAAACAAAUAGAAGUAUGAUGUUAGUUACAUAGUUUCAUAGAUACCUUUAUUAGGUUAAGACCAUUCCUUCUAUUCUUACUUUGCUGUUUGCUGGGAGUUUAUUGAGAAUUGAUAUUAAAUUUUGUUAAUUAUAUUUCCCUAUUGAAAUUAUCCAAAAUAUUUCUUUUUCUUUUUCCCUUUUUCUUUUCUUUUCUUUUUUUUUUUUUUUUUUUUGAGACAAGGUCUGGCUCUGUCACCCAGGACAGAGUACAGUGGCACAAUUUUGGCUCAUUGCAGCCUCAUCCUCCUGGACUCAAGCAAUCCUCCCACCUCAGCCUCAGAAGUAGCUGGGGACUACAGGCAUGCACCACUGGCCUGUCUAAUUUUUUUAUUUUUUCUUUUUUUGUAGAGUCAGGGCUUUGGCAUGUUGCCUAGGCUGGUCUUGCAAUCCUGAGCUCAGGUGAUCCACCUGCUUCAGCCUCCCAAAUAAAAAAUAUUUUUAUUUUAGUUUGUUAUUAAUUACAUUGAUUAAUUUUUGAAUUUUAAGUCAUCCUUGCAUUAUUGGGAUAGCUAUCAUUCUGUUGUGAUAUAUUAUCCUUUUGACUUGCUAACAUUGUAUUAAGAAUAUUUGCAUCUAUGUUUAUGAAAGACAUUGGUUGGUAGUAUACUACUUCAUAUAUAGCAUGAAAACCUCACAAUAACAUACUUUACUAUUUUCUCUCCUGAUCUCCUGG